GCCGGCGACCGGCGCACGGGUGAGUAACGCGUAUGCAACCUGCCCUUCACAGGGGGAUAACCGGGAGAAUUCCGACUAAUACCGCAUACGUCCUCCGGGGGCAUCCCCUGGGGAUGAAAGAUUUAUCGGUGAAGGAUGGGCAUGCGUGAUAUUAGGUAGUUGGCGGGGCAACGGCCCACCAAGCCCACGAUAUCUAGGGGUUCUGAGAGGAAGGUCCCCCACAUUGGUACUGAGACACGGACCAAACUCCUACGGGAGGCAGCAGUGAGGAAUAUUGGUCAAUGGACGAGAGUCUGAACCAGCCAAGUCGCGUGAAGGAAGACGGAUCUAUGGUUUGUAAACUUCUUUAGUGCGGGAACAAAGCGGCGUCGUGACGCCGGAUGAGUGUACCGCAAGAAUAAGCAUCGGCUAACUCCGUGCCAGCAGCCGCGGUAAUACGGAGGAUGCGAGCGUUAUCCGGAUUUAUUGGGUUUAAAGGGAGCGCAGGCUGCGAGGCAAGUCAGCGGUCAAAUGUCGGGGCUCAACCCCGGCCUGCCGUUGAAACUGUCCUGCUAGAGUUCGAGUGAGGUAUGCGGAAUGCGUUGUGUAGCGGUGAAAUGCAUAGAUAUGACGCAGAACUCCGAUUGCGAAGGCAGCAU
RNAcentral lists this ribosomal RNA (638 nucleotides) under uncultured bacterium. Its description in RNAcentral is "bacterial SSU rRNA". It matches the Rfam family "Bacterial small subunit ribosomal RNA", at positions 87 to 727 of the family's 1533-position model. The record is from RNAcentral.